Molecule: ribosomal RNA, 468 nt
Filed under: uncultured bacterium
Lineage: Bacteria
Description: partial 16S ribosomal RNA
Rfam family: Bacterial small subunit ribosomal RNA
Source: RNAcentral
GACGAACGCUGGCGGCGUGCUUAACACAUGCAAGUCGAACGGAAAGGCGCUGCGUUUGUGGGGUGCUCGAGAGGCGAACGGGGGAGAAACACGUGAGGAACCUGCACUUGACUGUGGGAGAAAUUCAGGAAACUGGGGCUAAUACCGGAGAGGAGCUCCUGCUGCAUGGUGGGGGUUGGAAAGUGUCGGCGGUUGGGGAUGGACUCGCUGGUUAUGAGCUUGUUGGUGAGGUAGUGGCGUACCAAGGCUUUGACGGGUAGCCGGCCUGGGAGGGUGACCGGCCUCAUUGGUACUGCGAUACGGCGCAGACGCGUAUCGUCGGCAGUAGUGGGAAAUAUUGCACAAUGAGCCGACGCCUGAUGUAGCAACGCUGCGUGCGGGAUGAUGGCUUUUGGGUUGUAAACAGAUUUCGCCUGUGAUGAGGCGUGAGUGACGGUAAUGGGUCAAGAAGCCCCGGCUAACUACGUG